ACUCAAAUGAAUAGACGGGGACCCGCACAAGCGGUGGAGCAUGUGGUUUAAUUCGACGGUAAGCGAGGAACCUUACCAGGGUUUGACAUUGUCCUGCAAGCGCACGGAAACGUGUGAUCUUCGAGAGUGGAUAACAGGUAUUGCACGGCUGUCGUCAGCUCGUGUCGUGAGAUGUUCCCUUAAGUGGGAGAACGAGCGCAACCCCCGUAGUAUGUUGAUUUUCAUACUAGACUGCCGGCGUUUAAGCCGGAGGAAGGUGGGGAUGACGUCAAGUCAGCGUGAUCUUUACGCCCUGGGCGACACACGUGCUACAAUGGGAAGGAACAAUGGGACGCAACAUCGCAAGAUCGAGCAAAUCCUCUCAAAAACUUCCCUCAGUUCGGAUUGUGGGCUGCAACUCGCCCGCAUGAAGCUGGAAUCGCUAGUAACCGUGGAUCAGCCUCGCCACGGUGAAUACGUUCUCGGGUUUUGUACACACCGCCCGU
This 485-nucleotide ribosomal RNA is filed under the name uncultured bacterium. Its description in RNAcentral is "partial 16S ribosomal RNA". It matches the Rfam family "Bacterial small subunit ribosomal RNA", at positions 899 to 1397 of the family's 1533-position model. The record is from RNAcentral.